Molecule: non-coding RNA, 273 nt
Organism: Paramormyrops kingsleyae
Lineage: Eukaryota; Metazoa; Chordata; Actinopteri; Osteoglossiformes; Mormyridae
Source: RefSeq, a predicted model, not a curated record
AUCCCAGCAUUCCUAAAGGCCGAGCCGGACUAUGACUUCUAAGAUGUUGGAAAGACAGAGUCAUUGCCUGAGGAAAAGCUGACCAAAAAAAAACUGAAUGAAAGGAAUACCUAAUUCGAAAUGUUUAAUGGCUUGAGUAGUCAGAUAUGUAUAGUCAAAUAUACGCUAAUAGUGUUGGCUGGGAUUGAGUGAGUUUGGUGUGGUAGAAUAAUAGCUAGUCCUGUUUAUCGCAUGUGUAUCUCAAAAGCUCAUUUAAUUGUAGGCAUUAAAACU